GGAGUAAUCCAGGUCAGUUUCUAUCUAUAACUGAGCUUUUUCUAGUACGAAAGGACCGAAAAAACAUGGCCAAUACCAAUGGCAAGCCAUAAUCCUUAAUUUAUGUAAUCAACUUAACUAACACAGGAUCCACCAAACAGCUUAAGAACAAAGCA
RNAcentral lists this ribosomal RNA (155 nucleotides) under Odontophrynus achalensis. Its description in RNAcentral is "partial 16S ribosomal RNA". Lineage: Eukaryota; Metazoa; Chordata; Amphibia; Anura; Alsodidae. The record is from RNAcentral.